AUCAAGAAGAGUCUACCACACAACACUCUUAUGUCAGCAGAGCAGUGUCCAGUAGAGCAAGAAGACGACAAUCUCAAGAGUUUCCUGCAGCACAGUGAGCUGUUCCCUAUAAUUUCUUACCAAAGAGAAGUGGAUUCCCCAUUCUGAGGACCUCAGGAAUAAGACCAGCCAGGAGAACAUAGAAGGAUAGAGGAAAAUUGCUUCCUCCCCUACAACUGGCGAUGAAAACGGGAUGCAACUUUACUGGCUGGACACUACUUGCUCCAAGGCUGCUGCAGUUAAGAGAUCCAGGGACAUCUGACAAAAGCAGAAGGAUUCCACCAUGCUCAGAAGUUCAUUAACUGCAUUAAUUCCAGUCUGUGGACCUGGACGUGGGAGGAGGUGGAGAAAUGACAAAAGGAGCUAUAGCUACGGUACCGUUCACUACAUGGAGAAUCAAGCAAAUGGAAGAAACAUUUCCCACAGUUAAUGUUUAGUGAGCCAGAGCCAUUUUUUCAAUGCAUUAAAAGUUAAAGUUAGGGCUUCCCUGGUGGUGCAGUGGUUGAGA
Delphinapterus leucas (beluga whale) is the source of this 547-nucleotide long non-coding RNA. RefSeq lists it as uncharacterized. The record is from RefSeq and is a predicted model, not a curated record. Lineage: Eukaryota; Metazoa; Chordata; Mammalia; Artiodactyla; Monodontidae.